This 747-nucleotide ribosomal RNA is filed under the name uncultured soil bacterium. RNAcentral describes it as "bacterial SSU rRNA". It matches the Rfam family "Bacterial small subunit ribosomal RNA", at positions 157 to 916 of the family's 1533-position model. The record is from RNAcentral.
CCGGAGCUAAUACCGGAUAUGACACCAAUCCGCAUGGGUAUGGUGUGGAAAGUUUUUCGGUCUGGGAUGGACUCGCGGCCUAUCAGCUUGUUGGUGAGGUAGUGGCUCACCAAGGCGACGACGGGUAGCCGGCCUGAGAGGGCGACCGGCCACACUGGGACUGAGACACGGCCCAGACUCCUACGGGAGGCAGCAGUGGGGAAUAUUGCACAAUGGGCGAAAGCCUGAUGCAGCGACGCCGCGUGAGGGAUGACGGCCUUCGGGUUGUAAACCUCUUUCAGCAGGGAAGAAGCGAAAGUGACGGUACCUGCAGAAGAAGCACCGGCUAACUACGUGCCAGCAGCCGCGGUAAUACGUAGGGUGCGAGCGUUGUCCGGAAUUAUUGGGCGUAAAGAGCUUGUAGGCGGUUUGUCGCGUCUGCUGUGAAAAUCCGGGGCUCAACCCCGGACUUGCAGUGGGUACGGGCAGACUAGAGUGUGGUAGGGGAGACUGGAAUUCCUGGUGUAGCGGUGGAAUGCGCAGAUAUCAGGAGGAACACCGAUGGCGAAGGCAGGUCUCUGGGCCACUACUGACGCUGAGAAGCGAAAGCAUGGGGAGCGAACAGGAUUAGAUACCCUGGUAGUCCAUGCCGUAAACGUUGGGAACUAGGUGUGGGUCUCAUUCCACGAGAUCCGUGCCGCAGCUAACGCAUUAAGUUCCCCGCCUGGGGAGUACGGCCGCAAGGCUAAAACUCAAAGGAAUUGACGG